CCAAGGAGAGUAACAUGUGCGCAAGUCAAUGGGCGUUACGAAACCCAAAGGCGUAGUGAAAGUGAAUGUUCGACUUGUUCGGACUGAGGUGAGAUCCUGGCGUUUCUCACGCGUGGUAUCACCAUGCCCUUGAGCGUCAGGCGCAUCACCGGCCCGUCCCAUGGUGUGGGUGCUCUCUUCGGAGUUGUGCCUCAUCGGGGUGGAGCAUGAGCGUGCAUGUUGAGACCCGAAAGAUGGUGAACUAUGCUUGCAAAGGUUGAAGCCAGAGGAAACUCUGGUGGAGGACCGCAGCGAUUCUGACGUGCAAAUCGAUCGUCAAAUGUGAGUAUAGGGGCGAAAGACUAAUCGAACCAUCUA
Molecule: ribosomal RNA, 357 nt
Filed under: Atrina fragilis
Lineage: Eukaryota; Metazoa; Mollusca; Bivalvia; Pterioida; Pinnidae
Description: eukaryotic LSU rRNA
Rfam family: Eukaryotic large subunit ribosomal RNA
Source: RNAcentral